CCAACGGCCCUCUUUAGGGCCACAAUCAUUCGCGAAUACUGAUAC
Non-coding RNA from Ancylostoma duodenale, 45 nucleotides. The record is from Rfam. NCBI's taxonomy places the organism in Eukaryota, Metazoa, Nematoda, Chromadorea, Rhabditida, Ancylostomatidae.